RNAcentral lists this long non-coding RNA (1224 nucleotides) under Sparus aurata (gilthead seabream). RNAcentral describes it as "lncRNA (ENSSAUG00010011178.1)". Lineage: Eukaryota; Metazoa; Chordata; Actinopteri; Spariformes; Sparidae. The record is from RNAcentral.
AUGUACGCCCUCCUGUACACCUAUGACUGCCCUCCAACCCAACGAACCAACUGCAUGAUAAAAUAUGCAGAUGACACCACUGUGGCUGGACGCAUCUGUGACGGGGACGAGACAGCGUACAGGGCCGAGGUGGAGGAACUGUCGCGCUGGUGCUCAGAAAACAACUUGACCCUGAAUAUCCUUAAAACAAAAGAACUCAUCAUGGACUUCAGGAAACACAGACAGGACUACACCCCCCUCCUCAUAAAUGGAGAGCAGGUGGAAACUGUUACAACCUUCAAGUUUCUAGGCACCCACAUCUCCACUGACCACUCCUGGACUGUUAACAUCAGGGCCCUGGUUAAGUCGGCUCAGCAGCGGCUACACUUUCUGCGUGUCCUCAGAAAAAAACAAUCUAGACACAAAGCUGCUGCUGGCCUUCUACCACUCGUCUGUGGUGUGCGUUCUGACGCACUGCCUGAAUGUGUGGUACGCAGGCUCCACAGCCGAGGACAGGAAGGCAGUGCAGGGGGUCAUUACCACUGCCCAAAAGAUCAUCGGCUCCCCUCUGCCCAGCCUGGAAAACAUCUCCACAUCCUGCUUGGACUUGGACUCUUCUUGGACUUCUCCAGUGCCUUUAAUACCAUCCAGCCCCCUAUACUUCAGGACAAACUGUACAGGAUGGGAGUGCACCCCCAUCUGGUGGACUGGAUCAAAGACUACCUCACUGACAGGCCACCGUACGUCAGGCUGAAGGACACCACGUCUGACACUGUGGUCAGCAGCACUGGAGCCCCCAAGGGCACAAUGCUGGCCCCUCUUCUCUUCACCCUGUUCACCUCUGACUUUUGCUACAACUCGGAGCUCUGUCACAUACAGAAGUACGCCGAUGGCACAGCCAUCGUUGGAUGUAUCAGGGGUGACAGAGAGGAGGAGUAUCGGAGUCUGGUGGGGGACUUUGCUCUCUGGUGUCACACUAACUGCCUACAGCUCAACAUCUCUAAGACGAAGGAGCUGGUCAUUGACUUUGGGAGGUCCAGACCAAGACCGCGACCAGUCCUGCUAGAGGGAGCUGAGGUGGAGGCUGUGCAGUCAUACAAAUACCUCGGACUGUGGCUGGAUAAUAAACUGGACUGGACAACACACACCAGCCACCUGUACAGGAAGACACAAAGCAGGCUGUACUUCCUGAGGAGAUUGUGGUCUUUCAACAUCUGCAGCAAACUAACUGCAGCAGACUGGUAA